GAUGAACGCUGGCGGCGUGCCUAACACAUGCAAGUCGAGCGAUCUUCCUCGGAAGAGAGCGGCGGACGGGUGAGUAACGCGUGGGUAACCUGCCCUGUACACACGGAUAACAUACCGAAAGGUAUGCUAAUACGAGAUAAUAUACUUUUAUCGCAUGGUAGAAGUAUCAAAGCUUUUGCGGUACAGGAUGGACCCGCGUCUGAUUAGCUAGUUGGUAAGGUAACGGCUUACCAAGGCGACGAUCAGUAGCCGACCUGAGAGGGUGAUCGGCCACAUUGGAACUGAGACACGGUCCAAACUCCUACGGGAGGCAGCAGUGGGGAAUAUUGCACAAUGGGCGAAAGCCUGAUGCAGCAACGCCGCGUGAGCGAUGAAGGCCUUCGGGUCGUAAAGCUCUGUCCUCAAGGAAGAUAAUGACGGUACUUGAGGAGGAAGCCCCGGCUAACUACGUGCCAGCAGCCGCCGUAA
This 468-nucleotide ribosomal RNA is filed under the name uncultured bacterium. Its description in RNAcentral is "partial 16S ribosomal RNA". It matches the Rfam family "Bacterial small subunit ribosomal RNA", at positions 28 to 523 of the family's 1533-position model. The record is from RNAcentral.